GAUGGGCGGGGGGCGGGGGGGGGAAUGUAAAAAUAAAGAAGUCAUUUGAGCAAUGAGAGAAGACAAAGAGGUUAGUGUGAUGGGAAAGCUGAGAGGAAUAAAGCCAGGAAGCAGAGUAGGAGGGAAAGAGGGCCGCCAAGAGAGGAAGAGGACCCUUGCCAGGAGGAGGCAGAAGAACAAAGGGGGUGAAGGAUGGUGCAUCUAAGCAAGAGUGAGGGAGGCCAUCAGGAGAGAGAAGAGCGGCUGGUUCCCUGAUAGUCAACAAUCCUUUCAAGGGUGAAAAAGAAAGACAGGCUUCUGAGAGUGGACCCUUCCAGAAGGAGACACGGCUGCCUCCUAACUGGGAUUCCUUCUGCUGGUGUCUUCCCCUCACUCACCUUUCUGUACGCCUAGAGGAAGCCUUAUUAAAUGCUAAUGUCAUCACGUGACUUCUAAGAGCUAGAAAGCCCUGACUAAACCGGCGUGGCCAAAAGACACCCAUCAUCUCACCCAACAAGAAACCUGAGGAAGGGGCUCCCCAUAGACGAAUUCAGUGGUUCCAGGUCUGGGAGCCCCAGUGCUUCCCUUCUGCUGUGCCAUUCCCAGGCUGGAUCCCUUCAGGCAGCCAGGAAGAAACGCGUGUGUGGUGUGUGUGGUUACCUAAGCUUCUGAAAAAGGACCCGAAGAAAAUGUGGAGAAAGACCCAAAGUCUCGGUGAGAACAGAAUUGGCACAAUUCCCCAGGGUUGGUGCAGGUGAGAGUCUGACGCGCUGAGAGCCCAGGUUUGCGGAGUUUGGUGGGGGUGGAGGGCGCCUGCUCCAGCAGCCCCGGAAGGGGAGGGCCCAUAGCUCCGCCAGGCUGGGAGCGGCGGUGUGGCAGCAGCCAGCGGAUGUGGGCGUGAGGGCUGGUGGGUGCACAGAGGACCCCGGACGACCCACAGCACAGAAACAUGGAAGCCCAGGCCUCCUCGCGUUCCUUCACAGCACGAUUCAUGGGAACGUAUUGUUCACGGAACCCUCGGGACAGGAAGUGGUCUGCGGCAUGAAGCAAUCACAUAGCAAACCUCCUGUACCUGACCACUCACCUGGUGAUUCUCCUGCUGCUGGGCAGCUAGAGGCUGGGCAGUGGGGGGCAUGCCUGGACCUGAGGCAGCUCUGCAGGUGAAAGCAGACAGCUUCCCAGCUGAGGGUGGCGGAUACACCCCUGGAUCCCCUUGUGUAUGAUGCCCCAGCCUGGGAGAGGUGAAGCAUCAGCAUCCAAUCAUUAGGUAAGUCCGCUGGCUUUAAAGGACACUGGGGCUGAGGGAUGUUAAACUCAGAUUUGCCAGGAGGUAGCAAUGGUUCAGUUGGUAGUAUGUUGAAAGUGAGACACAAAAAUGAUCAUGCGGACUGGUGCCCUGAUGGCCAAGGGCGGCUCAGUGCCUAGUAUCUCUCUGUCUCUGAAAGUGGCACACUGUGGUGCCCAGGUGGCUCAGUCAAUUGAGCAUCCGACUUUGGCUCAGGUCAUUUUCUCAUGGUUUGUGGUUCAAGCCCCACAUUGGUCUCUGUGCUGACAGCUCAGAGCCUGGAGCUUGCUUCGAAUUCUGUGUCUCCCUCUCUCUCUGCUC
Molecule: long non-coding RNA, 1585 nt
Filed under: Felis catus (domestic cat)
Lineage: Eukaryota; Metazoa; Chordata; Mammalia; Carnivora; Felidae
Description: lncRNA (ENSFCAG00000042724.2)
Source: RNAcentral